RNAcentral lists this ribosomal RNA (252 nucleotides) under uncultured bacterium. RNAcentral describes it as "partial 16S ribosomal RNA". It matches the Rfam family "Bacterial small subunit ribosomal RNA", at positions 524 to 776 of the family's 1533-position model. The record is from RNAcentral.
UACGUAGGGUGCAAGCGUUGUCCGGAAUUAUUGGGCGUAAAGAGCUUGUAGGCGGUUUGUCGCGUCUGCUGUGAAAUUUCGGGGCUCAACCCCGAACUUGCAGUGGGUACGGGCAGACUAGAGUGUGGUAGGGGAGACUGGAAUUCCUGGUGUAGCGGUGAAAUGCGCAGAUAUCAGGAGGACCCCCGAUGGCGAAGGAAGGUCUCUGGCCACUACUGACGCUGAGAAGCGAAAGCAUGGGGAGCGAACAGG